This is a long non-coding RNA of Mus musculus (house mouse), 560 nucleotides long. RefSeq annotates it as predicted gene, 46962. The record is from RefSeq and is a predicted model, not a curated record. NCBI's taxonomy places the organism in Eukaryota, Metazoa, Chordata, Mammalia, Rodentia, Muridae. The transcript has 3 exons.
GCCACAGCCAUUCAUCCAGCGAGUAAGAGAUACGUAAUUCAACAGCAAAGCCAAAUUCAGGUCCAAAACUCUACCUGCCAUCCUGGAAGCCUGCAGCCAUCAGGGGCCACCAACUCUGCCUGCUUCCCUGGACUUCUGCUGCCACCUAGGACAUCCAGGUGAGCUCCCUUAUGCCAAUUACCAAACCUUUCCUCCAGCAAAACAAGCAGCUGUGAGGUAUGCCCUAUCCUCUUUGUGUUCCAUCUUCUGGUUCACACCUCUACUGGCAAUCAUGGAAGGCCUGCAAGCCAUCAGGGACUACCUGCAAUGCUUCUAUUCCCCGAGGGAUGUUGCAACCCGGGACAUCCAGAGGCCUGAAUUUAUCAAUGACUACCAGCUCUACCUGCUUCCCUGCAAGCCAGCUACCACUCAGGAAAAACAUCUCUACCUUCAAUCCCAGUGACCUGCUGCCAUCAGGAGACUACCAGCUAUACCUGUAUCCAGGGACUACCAGGCCUUCAAAAAACAGAGAUUAGUUGCUUUCUUAACCCACAAACCAUCUCUGUAUUAUGUUGUCAUUU